RNAcentral lists this long non-coding RNA (409 nucleotides) under Linum usitatissimum (flax). Its description in RNAcentral is "long non-coding RNA (LUSI_LNC001465)". Lineage: Eukaryota; Viridiplantae; Streptophyta; Magnoliopsida; Malpighiales; Linaceae. The record is from RNAcentral.
CGGCCAUUCAAUCUCAAAUUGCGCUGCUCACAUAAACAUAAAAAAGCAUAAGCAAUCAUUGAACUAAUAAUGGAAAACGAAUGAACGACGCAGAAGUAAGACCAACCGAUUCAAAUCGAAACGGGGAGGCGGAGAAAGAUGCAGAAUCAGCUGAAAUCGAAUUGAGAGGGAUUAGCACUGAAGCAGAAACAUUCCUCCCAGCUAGCUUGGAGUGAUUGAGAUAAUCAGGAUAGCAGACUGAAGAAGAGCGGAAAGAAGGUAAGAAUGAGACGGAGGAGAAAGAUUGAUUGCUGCAGGGAAUGAGCCUUCUGGCAGAAGAAGCUGAUUUGCAGAGCUUGCACGUCGCAAUUGCAGCUGCUCUGCGGGCUGCUGCCAUUGUGGCCUCCCGAAUCUUCUCUUCCCAACUUCA